This 465-nucleotide ribosomal RNA is filed under the name uncultured bacterium. RNAcentral describes it as "partial 16S ribosomal RNA". It matches the Rfam family "Bacterial small subunit ribosomal RNA", at positions 28 to 507 of the family's 1533-position model. The record is from RNAcentral.
GACGAACGCUGGCGGCGUGCUUAACACAUGCAAGUCGAACGGAAAGGCCCCUUUGGGGGUACUCGAGUGGCGAACGGGUGAGUAACACGUGAGUAACCUGCCCUUGACUUCGGGAUAACUUCAGGAAACUGGGGCUAAUACCGGAUAGGAAUCCUUGCUGCAUGGUGGGGGUUGGAAAGCUUCGGCGGUUUUGGAUGGACUCGCGGCUUAUCAGCUUGUUGGUGGGGUAGUGGCUUACCAAGGCUUUGACGGGUAGCCGACCUGAGAGGGCGACCGGCCACAUUGGGACUGAGAUACGGCCCAGACUCCUACGGGAGGCAGCAGUGGGGAAUAUUGCACAAUGGGCGGAAGCCUGAUGCAGCAACGCCGCGUGCGGGAUGACGGCCUUCGGGUUGUAAACCGCUUUCAGCAGGGGCGAAGCUUGUGGUGACGGUACCUGCAGAAGAAGCACCGGCUAACUACGUG